AGUCAGGUCUGGUUUGGGAGGAGCUUCAGGCUCAGAAGACUGUGAGAAAACUCUGCAGUGUUUGGCCAGACAGGCUUCCUGGGUGGGGCUGACUGGUUGCAGGAGGAGGACACUCCAGCAACCAACCUGACACCACAGCCCAGAGGUUGUUUACUUACUUCUGUCUGCAGCUGCCUGAUAAGCACCAUGAAGAGGCUGCUCUGUUCCCUGCUUGGACUGCUGUGCACCCAGGUUUUCUGGGUGAAAGGUCAGCAAGUGAAGCAGAGUCCUGUGUCCUUGGUGCUGCAGGAGGGAGAGAGCACAGAGCUGCAGUGCAACUUUUCCACCAGUGCAAAGCAAAUACAGUGGUUUUACCAAAGUCCUGGGGGACACCUCAUCAGCCUGUUCUUCAAUCCUUCUGGAACAAAGCAGAAUGGAAGACUGAAGUCCACAACAGUCACUCAAGAACGCCGCAGCUCUUUGUACAUUUCCUCCUCUCAGACCACGGACUCAGGCACUUAUUUCUGUGCCGUGGAUCCACAGUACUCCCUACACACCUGCAGCCAGCACAUAAAACUUCAGCUGGCUGGCUGGUUGGGUGUGGCCCACUCAGCUACUAGAAAGACAUCAGAAAGUUGCAACAGACCUGCUCUUUUAAUGUCCCUUUCCUGUUUUGGUAGAGUUUCAACCUCAGGUAAAUUUUGGCCCCAAAGGUUCAGGAAUUUGGUUAAUCUCCAAUUCUCAAUAUCACUCCCUCCUAGAGCAUAAAUGUUCAUCUUAGAAAUAAAAUAGAAGCUGAUGAGAGGACAUAAUUAAUGUGAUUAUUUAAGCUGCAAUGUGUAAAACUCACAAAGGAUGAAGAGAAAAGGGAAAGAAUGGCAAAGGCAGGCUUCCAGAUAACCCUGCUGUGGACAGGGUCAGGGUUAGUGAAGAGAAAACAAUCUGCAGCAACAGCAAGAGCAUCAAGCCAUGGGAGAUACAGAAUGUGCAGAGAGCUGGGUGCUCUAGCUUCCUUUCGGUUGCUGUGCUAAAACUCUCUGAGAAAAAGCAGCUUAGAAGGUAGAAGACUUUGUUUAGCUUUCACUUCAUAGUCAUAGUCCAUCAUUGGUGGCAAUCAAAACAGGAACUCAACCAGAAGAUUCAAAGAGGAACCCUGAGGAGACUGUUACUAGUUCAGUCACAGGCUCACGCUUAACUAGCUUCCUAAUAUGAUCCAGGCCACUUUUCCCAUGGAACGGUGCUGCCCACAGUGACCUAGUCUCCAUUCAAUUCAGUAGCUUAAAAAAUGAUGCUUGGAGUUUUAGUGCCAGUUUAUUGAAUUUAAGGGAGCAUUGGGAAUAUUGAAGGCAUUGAAUCUUCUAGUCAUUAUUUAAAUUUACCUUUUCAUAUAUUUAACUUGACUCAGUCUGAUCCAUUGCCAUUUUUUGUCCUGUUGUUGUUUGUUUUCUUAAAAAUAGAUUCAUUUCACAUAAUAUAUUCUAAUCACUGUUUCCUGCCCUACAUCUUCCAAAUUCUCUCUACCUCCCCAGCCAUAUAAUUACACACCUUUCUUUUUAUUUUAAGGCAACAAGCAAGUUAAUAAGAAAACCAGAAUAGAACAAACAGAAAAAAACCAAAAAGCAUGAGAAGCACAUAAACAUAUAUGCAAAGAUACAUGCACACAUAAAAUCCAUAAAAACACAAAUUUUAAAUCCAUAAUGUAUAAACAAGCAAUGAAUAUGUUAAAUAAUGCCCAGAUAAAACAUUGUGAAAAAAGUCUCUAAAAACACAAUUGAGUUCAUUUAAGUUGGCCAUUUACAGCUGAUCAUGAGGCCUGCCUUUAAGUGUGGUUGUAUAUACAGAAAAAUGUUGGUGUGCUACAUCCACGGCUGUCUCGCCAGUAUAGCAGAAAUGCUGACUAGGCAGGCAAGUGUUGCCAGAGGAUUGGGAUCCGCACUCCACAGAGAUGAGUCCUGGGCUGCCCCUUGGCAAUCAGUUGUGGUGUAAUGCCACCUGAGUCGCCAUUUGUACUGACUCGACCUGCCUGUCCUU
This is a non-coding RNA of Myodes glareolus (Bank vole), 2010 nucleotides long. NCBI's taxonomy places the organism in Eukaryota, Metazoa, Chordata, Mammalia, Rodentia, Cricetidae. The record is from the annotation of a RefSeq genome assembly.